This 394-nucleotide ribosomal RNA is filed under the name uncultured bacterium. RNAcentral's name for it is "bacterial SSU rRNA". It matches the Rfam family "Bacterial small subunit ribosomal RNA", at positions 312 to 721 of the family's 1533-position model. The record is from RNAcentral.
AUUGGGACUGAGACACGGCCCAAACUCCUACGGGAGGCAGCAGUGGGGAAUAUUGCACAAUGGGGGAAACCCUGAUGCAGCGACGCCGCGUGAGCGAAGAAGUAUUUCGGUAUGUAAAGCUCUAUCAGCAGGGAAGAAGAAAUGACGGUACCUGACUAAGAAGCACCGGCUAAAUACGUGCCAGCAGCCGCGGUAAUACGUAUGGUGCAAGCGUUAUCCGGAUCUACUGGGUGUAAAGGGAGCGCAGGCGGAAGGCUAAGUCUGAUGUGAAAGCCCGGGGCUCAACCCCGGUACUGCAUUGGAAACUGGUCAUCUAGAGUGUCGGAGGGGUAAGUGGAAUUCCUAGUGUAGCGGUGAAAUGCGUAGAUAUUAGGAGGAACACCAGUGGCGAAGG